Molecule: long non-coding RNA, 2664 nt
Organism: Ornithorhynchus anatinus (platypus)
Lineage: Eukaryota; Metazoa; Chordata; Mammalia; Monotremata; Ornithorhynchidae
Exons: 2
Source: RefSeq, a predicted model, not a curated record
UGUCCCUGUCUGACCCCGAGGACCAACCAGGCAAGAGGCAACACUCCAGACUCCAAACGUUUGAAUCGGCCAAACCUGUGUGAGACGUCCCGACUUCAGGAAGAGCAUCCGUGACUCGCUGCUGCCCUCUAGCUGAGGGGAGUCUGCAUGGGCAUGUGGACGGGGGCAUCCCCCAGGGAGAUAUGGGUUAUGGGGAGGCUGUAAAUUGAGGACACAAGCUCAGGAAAGGGUCUUAGAGGCCAGACCUGUCCAGCAAAGGGAGGGAGGGGAACAGUCUCACUCCCUGAAAUGCUGGGGAGGGUUUUCCAAGGCCAGUGAUCCCACUGCAGGAGUGGUAAGAUGGGAGGGGCAUAGACAGCACGACCUGUGGACAGACCACUGUACUGAGUUCUGGGAAAGCUCUCCCAGCUGGGAAGCAGGUCUCCCCUCAGGAUCUCCCCUCAGUGGGGGCAAAGCCUGGGGCAGACACGUCGGGAGCGACAAAAUGAUAAAACACAACACAGGCAGACCCCCGAUGUGGUGGCAGGGGCUGGGGCCGGGGGAGAGAAAAAGCAGAGGAACCUGAGGGGUCACUGCCAUCCCCACUGACUGUAGGUUUUCCCACCCAAUGGUUUUCUUUUCAGAGCCACCAUGGCAGAGGGGAGCAGGCAGCCUCCCACCCAGAGGGGAUUCUGGAAGGGUCUGCGGAGAGCACUAUAACUUCCAUCAUCUGGCCGCCAUGAGGAAUCCAAAUCAAUUAUUUGGCAUAUGUCGAAUCGUACCAGCAGAGGAGGAGGAGAAGGCAAAAGAGAAGGUGGAGCAGGAGAGCCCAUCCUGCCACCUUUCCCGAACCAGCCCUCCCAGCGAGCACCUCCAGGACCCAACCUCAUCCUGCCUUUCGCCCCAAGCCCCAAGCUUGGCCUCCCGUCUUGGCCAUCGCCUCGGCAUCUGACCUCAGCCUGCACUCCAGGCCGUCUCCCCAAUAUCGGACCUCAACCUGCCCUUCCGGCCCUUGCUCCAAGAGGCAACUAGAGCCCGACCUCCUGGCCAUCACCCCCAAGCAGCCCCUCUGUGUCCAUUUCUGCCAGAUCUGACCUCAGCCUGCCUUCCGAGUGAUCACCCCCAGAAUCCCACCUAAGGCCGAACGGAUGCUAGGCUCGUUUUCCUAGGGUUCGGGCCACGGGGCAGAGAGGUGAGCUCCCUGCCACUCCCACAUUGGAGACCACACGGGAUCUGUUCCCAACCCUUCUGCCCGUCUCCCGGGAGCCACAGGACCAUACACGUGCUGCCUCUGGACCACCAUGGCCGCCUUCCUCACCCCUCCUCUCCUCGACAUCGUCCCUGUAAUCCAGGGCAUUAAGGACCAUCUUACGGCAUCUACCCUACUGUUUAAGGUGCCUGCAGGCAUUUUCCUCACCCCAUACCUCAUCACCACAUGGGAGAGAUUCUCUUGCCCUGACCCCUGGCCCCAUCUUCCCUGCUUCCUGCCCAGGGCACGGCCUGCCCUGCCUCACGGUCCAACCAUCCAAGACACCUCCCCCCAAUCAGGGACGAUCCCCAGUGACCCCACCUCCUUUCCUGCUUAGGUUCCCGCCUCAUCACUUUGAUCUUCGGCCCGGACCGAAGCAGGUCCCACUGACGAGUCCCAGAACAAAGAGCCCUGUGGUCAUCCGAGCCGGCCUUGUGGCAUUUGUUCGGCACUUUCCUAAGUGUCUCAUACUGUACUGAAUGCAGGAGUAGAGAAGAUUUAUUCAGAUUUCCUACAGUCCCCAUCCAACGUGGGUCUCAGAGUCUACUUGAAAGGGAGGAGAGCUAAUUCACUCAUCUAUUAUACAGGUGAGGCAACUGAGGCCUAGAGAAGCUAAACGUGAAGUCCUACAGUUGGCAAGUUGUAAAGGCAGAUAGAGAACCCAGGUUCUGUGACUCCCAGUUUAGCCAGCAACCACCUCGCAUCAGCAGCCCAGAGGCAUUCCUAUUAGAGAACAUCCCUAGGAAAAGAUCCCUAGGAAAGGACCCUUUCGUUGCCCUGGAAUAAUUACCAAUACGAGAACACGAUGACACUUCAUGAGGUCCACAAUAUCGCAGUUUACAUGCUCACCCACCUGUGCAGAGACCAGUGGACCACUGCCCUCGGAGCAAAGACUCCAGCCUACCCCGCUGGGGAGAUGUCCAGUCCUGGGAUAGUGAUUUCUGAUCUUGACCACACCCACCCUCUGGGCCGACCAUGGUCCCGGUGGACACCAGAUAUAACUUCUGUAGUGACUCAUAUUGGCACGGUCCACGUGCGCCGACAAGCAGAUGGGAUGACCUGAGUCUGCACAAACUGUCUGUGGGGCCGGUGUUGGGGGGUCCACACCUCUCUUCUUCUCCAGUCACAUACCUUCCCGGUCACUCUGAAAAUGGCUGCUGGGGCUGAACCGCAGAACUCAGCAGCGGGGGCUGGGUCUGAUGGCAAAAAAACACUAGGUAUUGAAAUGUCUGGAGUCCUAUCCAGGCAGGCCAGAGGGCAUACAAGGUGGAAGCUGAAUGUUAUCCAGGGCAUCAAACCAGAUAACUGCCCUUUGCCUCCAGGGGACAUGAGGGCCCCCAACCUCUUCAUGACCCUGUUUUCUUAAUGUGUCAUUUUUUCCUUCUCUUAUCCUGUUCCCUUUUCCCCCAUAUAUUAAAAUUCAUUAUGUAUUCAUA